GAUUAACGCUGGCGGCGUGCCUAACACAUGCAAGUCGAACGAUGAAACUUUUUCUAGUUCUUCUGAAUGAUAAUACGUGGAUUAGAUGGCCGACGGGUGAAUCUGCCUGGAAUCACCUGACUUAUAUAGGGGGAUAUCCUUUGUACCCCAUAAAUAAUACCCUAUCAUGUGACUAUCUCGCAUGGGAAUGUCGUCUCACAUCUAUCUCUCUCUGAUGGACUUGCGCCUGAUUAUGGAGUUGGUGAUGUAACGGGCCACCAUGACUACCAUACCUGACCGGCUUGUCAGACUGUACGGCCACUGUAUGAGACUGACACACUGCCCCGACUCCUACCGGAGGCAACUCUGCGGAAUUGUGCACGAUGUCGGAAAACACCUGAUGCACCGACGCCACGAGAGUUAUAAGGUCUUCGGGUUGUGUUAGUCUUUUGUAUGGAAAGAGAAAGACGGUACCUUACGAUGAGAGACCGGCUUAUUACAUGCCAACAGCCACGUUCAUACCUACGGCCCCAGCGUUGUCCAGAAUCCUUGCGCGGACCGGAUACAUAGGCCGUUAAGCAAGUUCGAGCUGAAAUCCUAUACCUCAGCUAUAGUAAGCUUUUAAAACUGCUCAUCUUGAGAUAUGGAAGGGACAGUGGAAUUCCUAUGUGUAGCGGUGAAAUGCGCAGAUAUUAGGGGGAAUACCGGUGGCGAAAGCGACUUUCUGGCCAUAAUCUGACGCUGAGGUACGAAAGCGUGGGUAGCAAACAGGAUUAGAUACCCUGGUAGUCCACGCCGUAAACGAUGAGUGUUAGGUGUCUGGACUAAUAUCUGGGUGCCGCGGCUAACGCAUUAAACACUCCGCCUGGGGAGUGCGCGCGCAAGCGUGAAAGUCAAUGGAAUUGACGGGGACCCGCACCACGCAGCGGAGCAUGCGGUUUAAUUCGACUCAACGCGAAGAACCUUACCAAGUCUUGACAUAUUACUCGCAGGGAUCUAGAGAUAGAUCCUUACUUCUUCUCAAGACUGUAAUACAGGUGGUGCAUGGUUGUCGUCAGCUCGUGUCGUGAGAUGUUGGGUUAAGUCCCAUAACGAGCGCAACCCCUAUUGUUAGUUACCAUCAUUCAGUUGGGGACUCUAACGAUACUGCCGGUGACAAACCGGAGGAAGGUGGGGAUGACGUCAAAUCAUCAUGCCCUUUAUGACUUGGGCUACACACGUGCUACAAUGGCAGGCACACAGAGCAGCUAGAGAGCGAUCUCAUGCUAAUCUCAAAAAGCCUGUCUCAGUUCGGAUUGCAGUCUGCAACUCGAGUGCAUGAAGUUGGAGUUGCUAGUAAUCGUGGAUCAGCAUGCCGCGGUGAAUGCGUUCCCGGGUCU
Molecule: ribosomal RNA, 1358 nt
Filed under: uncultured bacterium
Lineage: Bacteria
Description: bacterial SSU rRNA
Rfam family: Bacterial small subunit ribosomal RNA
Source: RNAcentral